RNAcentral lists this ribosomal RNA (207 nucleotides) under uncultured bacterium. Its description in RNAcentral is "partial 16S ribosomal RNA". It matches the Rfam family "Bacterial small subunit ribosomal RNA", at positions 568 to 774 of the family's 1533-position model. The record is from RNAcentral.
CGUGUAGGCGGCUUGGUAAGUCAGAUGUGAAAGCCCUGGGCUCAACCGAGGAAGUGCAUUUGAAACUACCAGACUUGAGUACGGGAGAGGAGGGGGGAAUUCCCGGUGUAGAGGUGAAAUUCGUAGAUAUCGGGAGGAAUACCGGUGGCGAAGGCGCCCCUCUGGACCGAUACUGACGCUGAGACGCGAAAGCGUGGGGAGCAAACA